Molecule: transfer RNA, 126 nt
Filed under: Candidatus Woesearchaeota archaeon
Lineage: Archaea; Nanobdellati; Candidatus Woesearchaeota
Description: tRNA-Ile
Rfam family: tRNA (bases 68-126)
Source: RNAcentral
GGCCCCGUGGCUUAGCCUGGCGAACUUUUACGAAAGGUUCAAUCAAAAGAAAACUUCGUAAUUUUUAGGCAAUAUAGCGCACGACUGAUAAUCGUGAGGUCUCGGAUUCAAAUUCCGACGGGGCCA